ACGCUGGCGGCGUGCCUAAUACAUGCAAGUCGAGCGGACAGAUGGGAGCUUGCUCCCUGAUGUUAGCGGCGGACGGGUGAGUAACACGUGGGUAACCUGCCUGUAAGACUGGGAUAACUCCGGGAAACCGGGGCUAAUACCGGAUGGUUGUCUGAACCGCAUGGUUCAAACAUAAAAGGUGGCUUCGGCUACCACUUACAGAUGGACCCGCGGCGCAUUAGUUAGUUGGUGAGGUAACGGCCCACCAUGGCGAGGAUGCGUGGUCCACCUGAAAGGUUGAUCGGCCACACG
RNAcentral lists this ribosomal RNA (291 nucleotides) under Bacillus subtilis. Its description in RNAcentral is "partial 16S ribosomal RNA". It matches the Rfam family "Bacterial small subunit ribosomal RNA", at positions 33 to 314 of the family's 1533-position model. Lineage: Bacteria; Bacillati; Bacillota; Bacilli; Caryophanales; Bacillaceae. The record is from RNAcentral.